UUAAGAAAUCUUUGAUGACGCGU
RNAcentral lists this small nuclear RNA (23 nucleotides) under Arabidopsis thaliana (thale cress). RNAcentral describes it as "snRNA_10428". Lineage: Eukaryota; Viridiplantae; Streptophyta; Magnoliopsida; Brassicales; Brassicaceae. The record is from RNAcentral.